GACAUCAGUGACUUGCUAGCUGAGACUGAGAAGCAAUCUAUGGUGUCCUGUCAUGCCAUGACUGCUGGAUGGACAGUGAGGUCACAGUGACUUUUGGAGCGAUGGUCACUGCUGGAGCUGGAGUUAAGUUUUGGUUUCCGAAACCAGAAAGGAGGAAGUGGAAGAGAGAGCAGCGUAAGAGCUACCACAAGAAUGUGAUAAGGAAGAACUGCACAUGUGAGAAGUGCUGCCAGGGAGAAAGAGCUGUCAGAAACACAAGCCCCAUGCUCAGCUGGAUGAAUGAGGACCUGACCACAGAGGUGGAGAGGAAAUGUGGGACAAUGAUGCCUUCUGACUUAUGGGAAACUUGGGCACAGAUCACUCUUGCUGAGCCCUAUCUGCAGCCUUCUCCCAUGCCUGCAUCGUGCCGAAUCCACCAAUGAUGCUCAGCACCAGUUAUUUAUUUCCAUGUCACCUAUGGAAACGUUCAGGUCCGAGUUCCUGUUGCACUGGAACUGCUUCCUGAAAGCAAACAAAUCUGCCUGAUUGUUUCUACCAAACCCUGGAGGCUUGAGCACAGGCAAACACAG
RNAcentral lists this long non-coding RNA (569 nucleotides) under Numida meleagris (helmeted guineafowl). RNAcentral's name for it is "lncRNA (ENSNMEG00000023101.1)". The record is from RNAcentral. Lineage: Eukaryota; Metazoa; Chordata; Aves; Galliformes; Numididae.